Molecule: ribosomal RNA, 57 nt
Filed under: Diaporthe rudis
Lineage: Eukaryota; Fungi; Ascomycota; Sordariomycetes; Diaporthales; Diaporthaceae
Description: partial 28S ribosomal RNA
Source: RNAcentral
UUUGACCUCGGAUCAGGUAGGAAUACCCGCUGAACUUAAGCAUAUCAAUAAAGCGGA